AUGAAGGGCGUAUGGUGGAUGCCUUGACUCAAGUGAGCGAUGAAGGACGUAGCGAUCUGCGAUAAGCCUCGGGGAGCUGAUGAGCAAGCUUUGAUCCGGGGAUUUCCGAAUGCGGCAACGCAUCUCGAUUCAUAUCGGGAUAUUACUGUCUGAAUUCAUAGGACAGUGAAGCGUACCCAGGGAACUGAAACAUCUUAGUACCUGGAGGAAAAUAAAUCCAAAAGAUUCCGUCAGUAGUGGCGAGCGAAAGCGGAGAAGCCUAAACCGUUUCACUUCGGUGAAGCGGGGUUGCGAGAUAAUAACGUCCUAUCUUGUAAAACGUUGAAUAUAGUUGUCAGCGUUUUACUCGACGGGAGUGAAGUUACAAAUUGUUUUGUUAGCUGAACAAUUCUGGAAAGUGAGACCAAAGAGGGUAAUAGUCCCGUAAGCGAAAACGANNNNNNNNNCCGGGGCCACUAUAGCUCCAAGGCUAAAUAUCACUUGAGAUCGAUAGCGAACUAGUACCGUGAGGGAAAGGUGAAAAGAACCCCGAUGAGGGGAGUGAAAUAGAACUGAAACCAUAUGCUUACGUAGAGUUGGAGCCCCGACGCAAGUCGGGGUGACAGCGUGCUUUUUGCAGAACGAGCCAACGAGUUAAUUUUAUGCGGCAAGUUUAACCCAGCAUUGAAUUUAUAAAGUAAAAAACUUUAAGGAGGUUCCACAGUGGGAGACAAAAAGGAAAUGAAAUUAUGGUUAAUCAUCCUUAGUUGUCCCUUUUUAUGGUAUAUGGCAAUAGCUUUAAUAUUGUCAUAUUUCUAAAGAUAGAGGAUCUCUACGGCGUGGCGUGCGGAAAUACUUCGUGCGCCCGCCGCAACUUUAUAAGUUUGAUGCUGGGGAAAACGUAGUGAAAGCGAGGCUUAAUCGCCGAAAAUAAGUCGCAUGGAUUAGACCCGAAGCCGGGCGAGCUACAUAUGAGCAGGGUGAACGCAGAGUAACAUCUGCGGGAGGCCCGAACCCACGCGCCGUACAACACGCGGGGAUGACUUGUGUGUAGAGGAGAAAUUCCAAUCGAGCUCGGCCAUAGCUGGUUCUUCCCGAAAUAGCUUGAGGGCUAGCGUCGGAUAAAUGAUCACAGGAGGUAGAGCUACUGAAUGAGGGAUCGUGGAGCAAUCCUAGGUCUCUCAACCAAACUCCGAAUGCCUGAUGAUUUUAUCCCGACAGUCAGAACGUGGGGGCUAAGCUUCACGUUCGAGAGGGAAACAGCCCAGAUCGCAGUCUAAGGUCCCUAAAUCUAUGUUAAGUG
This 1282-nucleotide ribosomal RNA is filed under the name Candidatus Moranbacteria bacterium RIFOXYA1_FULL_44_8. RNAcentral's name for it is "bacterial LSU rRNA". It matches the Rfam family "Bacterial large subunit ribosomal RNA", at positions 10 to 1065 of the family's 2925-position model. The record is from RNAcentral. Lineage: Bacteria; Candidatus Moraniibacteriota.